Molecule: ribosomal RNA, 310 nt
Filed under: Hospesneotomae nitida
Lineage: Eukaryota; Metazoa; Arthropoda; Insecta; Hemiptera; Reduviidae
Description: Triatoma nitida partial 16S ribosomal RNA
Source: RNAcentral
GAGAAUAAAUUUUUAUUUUUUAUAUAAAUUUUGAAUUUUUAAUAGAAAUAACUUUUUUUUAAGUAAAUUUUAUUGAAAUAAUAUUUAUUGUGAUAGUAAAUUGUACUGUAAAGGUUUAAAUUGUUUCGUUUAAAAGUAGUUUUUAUUUAAUGUACCUUUUGUAUCAGGGUUAAUUAAUUUAUUAUAUUUAUUAUGUAUUUCCCGAAAUUGGAAGAGUUUUAAUUUAAAUGUUAGUCAAUGUGUCAAAAUUGUUUUUAAUUUAAUUAUAGUAAUGAAAUGUUAUUCGUUUCUAAAUAUCUGGUUUUCUUGG